This is a long non-coding RNA of Choloepus didactylus (southern two-toed sloth), 436 nucleotides long. RefSeq lists it as uncharacterized. NCBI's taxonomy places the organism in Eukaryota, Metazoa, Chordata, Mammalia, Pilosa, Megalonychidae. The transcript is spliced from 3 exons. The record is from RefSeq and is a predicted model, not a curated record.
CUCAGAUUUUCUCAGCUCUUCUUCAUCUGAUUCUUGCCCUCAAUAUGUGGUUUCUCUGAUGGAGGGAUGAGACCGAGCAGCUCACGGCAUAGCUCAGGGGAUGACAAGGCUUACAGCAUGGACGCCAACAAAUGCUGCCUCUGUGACCCUCCCACUCCCCUGCACCAGUGCAAUACCCUAGGAGAAUGUCUCUGACACUUGGAAGACUGCUAGUGUUCAUCUAAAAACCAGAGUGAAAUUCAGACACACAGAGAAAACAAGAAGCUGAAACAGAACCCAGAAAAGAAGGGAGAGAACAGGAGACACUGCCAUGUGCUUUGCCAUGUGAUGAAGAACCCAAGGACCACUGGCAACAAGCACCAGAACUCCACAGUCUUUGCGAGAAAGCAUUGCCUUGAUGAUGCCUUGCUUUGGAGUUUCUUUUAGCCUCAAAACC